GGGGGCGUAACGGCUUCGACGUGUUUGGUGAACGCGGGGUAGCGUGCCGAGGUCCGGGAAGCCUCGAAAAAAACCCGGAAUCAACACAAUUGCCAACAAUCACAUGGCACUGGCUGCCUGAGUUUUCUCACAGCCCGUCUCCUGGCCCGCCCGCCCAAGGCAGGCCUCCGAGGCGUCGACAAGUUGGGCUGGCCCGCGGCGAUGCCGUCGCGACGCGGGUGAGACAUUCGAUGGCUAGUCGGGGAGCCGGCGGGUCGCUGGCCGCUCACCCGAUGAAGCCC
Molecule: transfer-messenger RNA, 281 nt
Filed under: Gammaproteobacteria bacterium
Lineage: Bacteria; Pseudomonadati; Pseudomonadota; Gammaproteobacteria
Description: partial transfer-messenger RNA
Rfam family: transfer-messenger RNA
About the family: Bacterial tmRNA, also known as 10Sa RNA or SsrA, is named for its dual tRNA and mRNA-like properties. Its role is to liberate the mRNA from a stalled ribosome.
Source: RNAcentral